CAAUCAAGUGCCUUAAGGGUGUUCGGUGGAUGCCUUGGCGAUGAGAGGCGACGAAGGACGUGCUACGCUGCGAUAAGCCGUGGGGAGCUGCGAAGGAGCUUUGAUCCACGGAUUUCCGAAUGGGGAAACCCACCUUCGAUAGCCGAAACUCUAAGUUCACAACGACGCAAGUCGCUGUGGAUUUGGAUUUUCGGUUAUCAAGUGAAGGUAUGAGACUUCUGAAUACAUAGGAGGUUUCAAGCGAACCCAGGGAACUGAAACAUCUAAGUACCUGGAGGAAAGGACAUCAACCGAGACUCCGCUAGUAGUGGCGAGCGAACGCGGACCAGGCC
Molecule: ribosomal RNA, 332 nt
Filed under: Candidatus Afipia apatlaquensis
Lineage: Bacteria; Pseudomonadati; Pseudomonadota; Alphaproteobacteria; Hyphomicrobiales; Nitrobacteraceae
Description: partial 23S ribosomal RNA
Rfam family: Bacterial large subunit ribosomal RNA
Source: RNAcentral